RNAcentral lists this ribosomal RNA (774 nucleotides) under uncultured Neocallimastigales. Its description in RNAcentral is "partial large subunit ribosomal RNA". It matches the Rfam family "Eukaryotic large subunit ribosomal RNA", at positions 23 to 616 of the family's 3401-position model. The record is from RNAcentral. Lineage: Eukaryota; Fungi; Neocallimastigomycota; Neocallimastigomycetes; Neocallimastigales.
AGAGAGAGACAUGCGCGCAUAUCAAUAAGCGGAGGAAAAGAAACUAACAAGGAUUCCCCUAGUAACGGCGAGUGAAGCGGGAAGAGCUCAAAUUUGAAAUCUUAAAGGGUUUCCCUUUACGAAUUGUAGUUUAAAGAAGUGUUUUCUGUUGAGGUUUUGGUAAAAGUUCUUUGGAAUAGGACAUCAUAGAGGGUGAGAAUCCCGUAUUUGACCUUUACUUUCAACUUUGUGAUACACUUUCAAAGAGUCGGAUUGUUUGGGAAUGCAGUCCAAAAUGGGUGGUAAAUUUCAUCUAAAGCUAAAUAUUGGCGAGAGACCGAUAGCGAACAAGUACCGUGAGGGAAAGAUGAAAAGAACUUUGAAAAGAGAGUUAAACAGUACGUGAAAUUGUCAAAAGGGAAGCGUUUGACACCAGUGUUGUUUUCUCGAAAAUCAAUUAAAGAGCUGUUUAUGCUAAGUUGUUUAGACUUUAUCAGCUAACUGUUUAGUUUUGAGCUUUUCUUUAAUGCACUUUUCAGUUAACAAGUCAACAUCAAUUUCUUUUGCUGUAAAAAAGCUUGAGGAAGGUGGCUUGAGAUUCGUCUUAAGUGUUUAUAGCCUCUUGCCUAUGCAGUCGGAGAGAUUGAGGUCUGCAGCGUAGAUCCUUCGGGGCUAAAUGCAUUUGUGCUAAGUUAUAGCAUUUUAUAGACAACUUGUUGACUAUGAUUUGUCUUGUAGCUUACUCGCCUAUGUUAUUUUACCUACGCUUAGGAUGUUGAGCGCAUGUCUCUCUCU